Molecule: unclassified non-coding RNA, 4287 nt
Filed under: Haliotis rufescens (red abalone)
Lineage: Eukaryota; Metazoa; Mollusca; Gastropoda; Lepetellida; Haliotidae
Description: scavenger receptor class F member 1-like, transcript variant X5
Source: RNAcentral
GGCAUCAUUGCUACUCCGUGUGUCGGGCAUCUUGCUGACUCUCUGCCUCUGUUACUGCAAGCGUUUCCCCAAACAAAGGUGGGUGUGUUGCCAUCACUGCUUCUCCCUGUGGCGGGCAUCUUGCUGACACUCUGCCUCUGUUACUGCAAGCGUUUCCCCAAACAAAGGUGGGUGUGUUGCCAUCACUGCUACUCCCUGUAUCGGGCAUCUUGCUGACACUCUGCCUCUGUUACUGCAAGCGUUUCCCCAAACAAAGGUGGGUGUGUUGCCAUCACUGCUACUCCCUGUGUCAGGCAUCUUGCUGACACUCUGUCUCUGUUACUGCAAGCGUUUCCCCAAACAAAGGUGGGUGUGUUGCCAUCACUGCUACUCCUUGUGUCGGGCAUCUUGCUGACACUCUGUCUCUGUUACUGCAAGCGUUUCCCCAAACAAAGGUGGGUGUGUUGCCAUCACUGCUACUCUUUGUGUCGGGCAUCUUGCUGACACUCUGUCUCUGUUACUGCAAGCGUUUCCCCAAACAAAGGUGGGUGUGUUGCCAUCACUGCUACUCCUUGUGUCGGGCAUCUUGCUGACACUCUGUCUCUGUUACUGCAAGCGUUUCCCCAAACAAAGGUGGGUGUGUUGCCAUCACUGCUACUCCCUGUGUCGGGCAUCUUGCUGACACUCUGCCUCUGUUACUGCAAGCGUUUCCCCAAACAAAGGUGGGUGUGUUGCCAUCACUGCUACUCUUUGUGUCGGGCAUCUUGCUGACACUCUGCCUCUGUUACUGCAAGCGUUUCCCCAAACAAAGGUGGGUGUGUUGCCAUCACUGCUACUACCUGUGUCAGGCAUCUUGCUGACACUCUGUCUCUGUUACUGCAAGCGUUUCCCCAAACAAAGGUGGGUGUGUUGCCAUCACUGCUACUACCUGUGUCAGGCAUCUUGCUGACACUCUGUCUCUGUUACUGCAAGCGUUUCCCCAAACAAAGGUGGGUGUGUUGCCAUCACUACUACUCCCUGUGUCAGGCAUCUUGCUGACACUCUGUCUCUGUUACUGCAAGCGUUUCCCCAAACAAAGGUGGGUGUGUUGCCAUCACUGCUUCUCCCUGUGUCGGGCAUCUUGCUGACACUCUGUCUCUGUUACUGCAAGCGUUUCCCCAAACAAAGGUGGGUGUGUUGCCAUCACUGCUUCUCCCUGUGUCGGGCAUCUUGCUGACACUCUGUCUCUGUUACUGCAAGCGUUUCCCCAAACAAAGGUGGGUGUGUUGCCAUCACUGCUUCUCCCUGUGUCGGGCAUCUUGCUGACACUCUGUCUCUGUUACUGCAAGCGUUUCCCCAAACAAAGGUGGGUGUGUUGCCAUCACUGCUACUACCUGUGUCAGGCAUCUUGCUGACACUCUGUCUCUGUUACUGCAAGCGUUUCCCCAAACAAAGGUGGGUGUGUUGCCAUCACUGCUACUCCCUGUGUCGGGCAUCUUGCUGACACUCUGUCUCUGUUACUGCAAGCGUUUCCCCAAACAAAGGUGGGUGUGUUGCCAUCACUGCUACUCCCUGUGUCGGGCAUCUUGCUGACACUCUGUCUCUGUUACUGCAAGCGUUUCCACAAACAAAGGUGGGUGUGUUGCCAUCACUGCUACUCCCUGUGUCGGGCAUCUUGCUGACACUCUGUCUCUGUUACUGCAAGCGUUUCCCCAAACAAAGGUGGGUGUGUUGCCAUCACUGCUACUCCCUGUGUCGGGCAUCUUGCUGACACUCUGUCUCUGUUACUGCAAGCGUUUCCCCAAACAAAGGUGGGUGUGUUGCCAUCACUGCUACUCCCUGUGUCGGGCAUCUUGCUGACACUCUGUCUCUGUUACUGCAAGCGUUUCCCCAAACAAAGGUGGGUGUGUUGCCAUCACUGCUACUCCUUGUGUCGGGCAUCUUGCUGACACUCUGCCUCUGUUACUGCAAGCGUUUCCCCAAACAAAGGUGGGUGUGUUGCCAUCACUGCUACUCCUUGUGUCGGGCAUCUUGCUGACACUCUGCCUCUGUUACUGCAAGCGUUUCCCCAAACAAAGGUGGGUGUGUUGCCAUCACUGCUACUCCCCGUGUCGGGCAUCUUGCUGACGCUCUGUCUCUGUUACUGCAAGCGUUUCCCCAAACAAAGGGAACAGGAGGAGCACCAGGAUCAGAUGCAUCAAGAUGAGGUGGAGUAUCUGCAGUACUUACCUACAGUACAGGGAGAUAUACUUAAUACUAACCGUCAUUCGAAUCAUGCCUAUUAUGACGUUAUCGAUGGCGAGAAGGGUCCCGCCAUUGUGUUCCUGUGACCGCUGAUUGUAUGUAGCCUAUUUUAUGUUGUAUGUGUUCCUGUGACGGCUGGUUAUAUGUAACCUAUUUUGUGUUGUAUGUGUUCCUGUGACGGCUGGUUAUAUGUAACCUAUUUCAUGUUGUAUGUGUUCCUGUGACGGCUGGUUAUAUGUAACCUAUUUAAUGUUGUAUGUGUUCCUGUGACGGCUGGUUAUAUGUAAUCUAUUUAAUGUUGUAUGUGUUCCUGUGACGGCUGGUUAUAUGUAAUCUAUUUUAUGUUGUAUGUGUUCCUGUGACGGCUGGUUAUAUGUAAUCUAUUUAAUGUUGUAUGUGUUCCUGUGACGGCUGGUUAUAUGUAAUCUAUUUAAUGUUGUAUGUGUUCCUGUGACCGCUAGUUAUAUGUAACGUCUUUUAUGUUGUAUGUGUUCCUGUGACGGCUGGUUAUAUGUAAUCUAUUUAAUGUUGUAUGUGUUCCUGUGACGGCUGGUUAUAUGUAAUCUAUUUAAUGUUGUAUGUGUUCCUGUGACCGCUAGUUAUAUGUAACGUCUUUUAUGUUGUAUGUGUUCCUGUGACGGCUGGUUAUAUGUAACCUAUUUUAUGUUGUAUGUGUUCCUGUGACGGCUGGUUAUAUGUAACCUAUUUUAUGUUGUGCGUUCCUGUGACCGCUGGUUAUAUGUAACCUAUUUUGUGUUGUAUGUGUUCCUGUGACGGCUGGUUAUAUGUAACCUAUUUUGUGUUGUAUGUGUUCCUGUGACCGCUAGUUAUAUGUAACCUAUUUUGUGUUGUAUGUGUUCAUGUGACCGCUGGUUAUAUGUAACCUAUUUUAUGUUGUAUGUGUUCCUGUGACGGCUGGUAAUAUCUAACCUAUUUUAUGUUGUAUGCGUUCCUGUGACCGCUGGUUAUAUGUAAUCUAUUUUAUGUUGUAUGUGUUCCUGUGACCGCUGGUUAUAUGUAACCUAUUUUAUGUUGUAUGUGUUCCUGUGACGGCUGGUAAUAUCUAACCUAUUUUAUGUUGUAUGCGUUCCUGUGACCGCUGGUUAUAUGUAACCUAUUUUAUGUUGUAUGUGUUCCUGUGACCGCUGGUUAUAUGUAACCUAUUUUGUGUUGUAUGCGUUCCUGUGACGGCUGGUUAUAUGUAACCUAUUUUAUGUUGUAUGUGUUCCUGUGACCGCUGAUUGUAUGUAACCUAUUUUGUGUUGUAUGAUUUAUCUAAAUACAACUGUUCACUGUCGAUUUAACUGUCAAUUCUAUUUUCCCAAUCGCCGGGUCGCGCUAGGUGUUGAUGUCGUUGUUUUGCCAGGACAUACCCGUCGGUUUCUCCCGAGUCGUGAUACUUUUGUUUUUCCGCCCUUUUUUAGCUGACCCUGUUUCCAAAGUAUACGUCACUAUACUACGGCACUAUACUACGGCACUAUACUACGGCACUAUACUGCAACAGCAACGUUAAAAACACGUGACGUAUAUAUGGUGAGCUUCACAUCGAUGAUGAUGUCAUGAACGUUGAGGCCACUACCCUAUACAGUAUACGUCUUUACUACCAGCUGACAAUACGUGUGUCUAUUAGCAAUGUGUAUAUGGUGAGCUUCACAUCGAUGAUGAUGUCAUGAACGUUGAGGCCACUACCCUAUACAGUAUACGUCUUUACUACCAGCUGACAAUACGUGUGUCUAUUAGCAAUGUGUAUAUGGUGAGCUUCACAUCGAUGAUGAUGUCAUGAACGUUGAGGCCACUACCCUACACAGUAUACGUCUUUACUACCAGCUGAUAAUACAUGUGUCUAUUAGCAAUUGUGAUAUGAAACCAAAGUCGUUGUCAUCAUUUAACGUGUAGAGAAUACUAUUUGUAUUGUGUAAACAAGUGUCACAGUCACGAAAGACGAGAAGUAAACUUGUGUCGCUUUGACUUAAUGGUAUGUACUAAUGUGCCUUAAAUUUGCAAGUAGUGCAAACUAAUUCUUAAUUUUCUUUAAAUGUUGAAAAAGAUCAGGUUUGAUAUAUUUGUACAUUAUAGUAAUAAACA